Molecule: ribosomal RNA, 495 nt
Filed under: uncultured soil bacterium
Lineage: Bacteria
Description: bacterial SSU rRNA
Rfam family: Bacterial small subunit ribosomal RNA
Source: RNAcentral
AGUGGCCGACGGGUUAGUAACACGUAGGAAUCUAUCCCGGGGUGGGGGAUAACAGUGGGAAACUACUGCUAAUACCGCAUGAUCUGAGGCAAAGGCGCGCCUUGGGAGGAGCCUGCGUCUGAUUAGCUAGUUGGUGGGGUAAAGGCCUACCAAGGCGACGAUCAGUAGCUGGUCUGAGAGGAUGAUCAGCCACAUUGGGACUGAGACACGGCCCAAACUCCUACGGGAGGCAGCAGUGGGGAAUAUUGGACAAUGGGGGAAACCCUGAUCCAGCAAUGCCGCGUGUGUGAAGAAGGUCUUCGGAUUGUAAAGCACUUUUGGCAGGGACGAUUGACGGUACCUGCAGAAUAAGCCCCGGCUAACUUCGUGCCAGCAGCCGCGGUAAUACGAAGGGGGCUAGCGUUGCUCGGAAUGACUGGGCGUAAAGGGCGCGUAGGCGGAUUGUACAGUCAGAAGUGAAAUUCCUGGGCUCAACCUGGGGACUGCUUUUGAUAC